AUUGAACGCUGGCGGCAGGCCUAACACAUGCAAGUCGAGCGGUAGAGAGAAGCUUGCUUCUCUUGAGAGCGGCGGACGGGUGAGUAAUGCCUAGGAAUCUGCCUGGUAGUGGGGGAUAACGUCCGGAAACGGACGCUAAUACCGCAUACGUCCUACGGGAGAAAGCAGGGGACCUUCGGGCCUUGCGCUAUCAGAUGAGCCUAGGUCGGAUUAGCUAGUUGGCGGGGUAAUGGCUCACCAAGGCGACGAUCCGUAACUGGUCUGAGAGGAUGAUCAGUCACACUGGAACUGAGACACGGUCCAGACUCCUACGGGAGGCAGCAGUGGGGAAUAUUGGACAAUGGGCGAAAGCCUGAUCCAGCCAUGCCGCGUGUGUGAAGAAGGUCUUCGGAUUGUAAAGCACUUUAAGUUGGGAGGAAGGGCAGUAAAUUAAUACUUUGCUGUUUUGACGUUACCGACAGAAUAAGCACCGUAAU
Molecule: ribosomal RNA, 476 nt
Filed under: Pseudomonas sp. oral taxon C84
Lineage: Bacteria; Pseudomonadati; Pseudomonadota; Gammaproteobacteria; Pseudomonadales; Pseudomonadaceae
Description: bacterial SSU rRNA
Rfam family: Bacterial small subunit ribosomal RNA
Source: RNAcentral